UACGAGUGCCUCAAGCGUUGUCCGGAAUCACUGGGCGUAAAGGGCGCGUAGGUGGCGAGCCAAGUCCAUGGUGAAAGCUCGAUGCUCAACAUCGAGUCGGCCACGGAUACUGGUGCGCUUGAGCACUGUAGAGGCUAAUGGAAUUCCGGGUGUAGCGGUGGAAUGCGUAGAGAUCCGGAAGAACACCGGUGGCGAAGGCGGUUAGCUGGGCAGUUGCUGACACUGAGGCGCGACAGCGUGGGGAGCAAACAGG
RNAcentral lists this ribosomal RNA (253 nucleotides) under uncultured bacterium. RNAcentral describes it as "partial 16S ribosomal RNA". It matches the Rfam family "Bacterial small subunit ribosomal RNA", at positions 524 to 776 of the family's 1533-position model. The record is from RNAcentral.